AUGGAGAGAUAUAGGGAGCAUAAGAAGGACUUGCAUAUGGUGUUCAUUGACUUGGAGAAGGCCUAUGAUAAGAUACCGCAGAAUGUCAUGUGGUGGGCCUUGGAGAAACACAAAGUCCCAGCAAAGUACAUUACCCUCAUCAAGGACAUGUACAAUAAUGUUGUGACAAGUGUUCGAACAAGUGAUGUCGACACCGAUGACUUCCCGAUUAAGAUAGGACUGCAUCAGGGGUCAGCUUUGAGCCCUUAUCUUUUUGCAUUGGUGAUGGAUGAGGUCACAAGGGGUAUACAAGGAGAUAUCCCAUGGUGUAUGAUCUUUGCGGAUGAUGUGGUGCUAGUUGACGAUAGUCGGACGGGGGUAAAUAGGAAGUUAGAGUUAUGGAGACAAACCUUGGAAUCGAAAGGGUUUAGGCUUAGUAGAACUAAAACCGAGUACAUGAUGUGCGGUUUCAGUACUACUAGCUGUGAGGAGGAGGAGGUUAGCCUUGAUGGCCGGGUGGUACCUCGGAAGGACACCUUUCGGUAUUUGGGGUCAAUGUUGCAGGAGGAUGGGGGUAUUGAUGAAGAUGUGAACCAUCGAAUCAAAGCCGGAUGGAUGAAGUGGCGCCAAGCUUCUGGCAUUCUCUGUGACAAGAGAGUGCCACAAAAGCUAAAAGGCAAGUUCUACAGGACGGCGGUUCGACCCGCAAUGUUGUAUGGCGCGGAGUGUUGGCCGACUAAAAGGCAACAUGUUCAACAGUUAGGUGUGGCGGAGAUGCGUAUGUUGAGAUGGAUGUGUGGCCACACAAGGAAGGAUCGAGUCCGGAAUGAUGAUAUACGAGAUAGAGUUGGGGUAGCACCAAUUGAGGAGAAGCUUGUCCAACAUCGUUUGAGAUGGUUUGGGCAUAUUCAGCGCAGGCCUCCAGAAGCUCCAGUGCAUAGCGGACGGCUAAAGCGUGCGGACAAUGUCAAGAGAGGGCGGGGUCGACCGAUUUUGACAUGGGAGGAGUCCGUUAAGAGAGACCUCAAGGAUUGGAGUAUCGACAAAGAGCUAGGUAUGGACAGGGGUGCGUGGAAGCUUGCUAUCCAUGUGCCAGAGCCAUGA
RNAcentral lists this ribosomal RNA (1083 nucleotides) under Triticum aestivum (bread wheat). RNAcentral describes it as "partial small subunit ribosomal RNA". Lineage: Eukaryota; Viridiplantae; Streptophyta; Magnoliopsida; Poales; Poaceae. The record is from RNAcentral.